UACAGAGGUCUCAAGCGUUGUUCGGAUUCAUUGGGCGUAAAGGGUGCGUAGGCGGCGCGGUAAGUCGGAUGUGAAAUCUCGGAGCCUAACUUCGAAACUGCAUUCGAUACUGCCGUGCUUGAGGACUGGAGAGGAGACUGGAAUUUACGGUGUAGCGGUGAAAUGCGUAGAUAUCGUAAGGAAGACCAGUGGCGAAGGCGGGUCUCUGGACAGUUCCUGACGCUGAGGCACGAAGGUCAGGGGAGCAAACGGG
This 253-nucleotide ribosomal RNA is filed under the name uncultured bacterium. Its description in RNAcentral is "partial 16S ribosomal RNA". It matches the Rfam family "Bacterial small subunit ribosomal RNA", at positions 524 to 776 of the family's 1533-position model. The record is from RNAcentral.